AAUAGGAGAGCACAUGGAGCAGUCACUACCGAUUAGUUGAUAACUCAUGACAUCUUACUGUCAAGAAGGCAAAAACUGGGGACCUGAAGAACUUCUGACUAUUUCACCAAUGAACUGGAUUUGGAGUGGUGGAAAAAAGUUAUUACUACUUACAAAGACAGGCUGAGGGAGCUGGGCUUGUUCAGCCUGGAGAAGAGAAGGCUGUGGGAUGACCUCAUUGCAGCCUUCCAGUACCUGAAAGGAGCCUACAAACAGAAGGAGCGUCAACUCUUUACAAGGGUAGAUAAUGGCAGAACAAGGGGAAACGGUUUAAAGUUGAAGGAGGGAAGAUUUUGUUUGGAUAUCAGGGAGAAGUUCUUUACCAAGAGAGUGGUGAGGUGCUGGAACAGGCUCCCCAGAGAGGGUGUGGAUGCCUGGUCUCAUGUUCAAGGUGUUCAAGACCAGGCUGGAUGGGGCCCUGGGCAGCCUGCUCUGGUAUUAGAUGUGGAG
Molecule: long non-coding RNA, 489 nt
Filed under: Numida meleagris (helmeted guineafowl)
Lineage: Eukaryota; Metazoa; Chordata; Aves; Galliformes; Numididae
Description: lncRNA (ENSNMEG00000009973.1)
Source: RNAcentral